GAACAUUUAAUAAAACCACCUCCGACGGAAACUAUUGCUAAUCGAUACGACCGGCUAAUCCGCUAUGGCCGGCCAACAGUAAACACUCGCCAACUUCCUCAGCAAGCAACCAAGGUCCACUGGAAUUCAAAGUCUAGUUGAAUCCGACUGCACAGCGACGUCCGUGGAUAGUAUGAGUUUGGGACAAGUUGAUAUAGGAAUCUGCUGGUUCGCAUCGCAUUUCACAUCGCCAUUCGCCACACCAAAACUCUCGCGUUGAGCAUGUGAGUCGACGAGAAAGGCAGGAGCACAUUUGGUUCGGAAAUGUCAAUUUAACUCGACCCGAGACUGGUAAAAGGGAAAGGAGAGAAAGCCGUGCGUGACUUGUGACGCAAUCUGCUCGGCCUGCUUCGUCUCAUCUCAUGCAACUCUGCACCACAUUGCGAGUGUAGUGUAUCCCGUGACUUUGUUUUCGUUGUGUUGCUGUUGUCUCAAGUGACAUAGUGCACAUGAUGCAGGUUCAAUGUAGAAACGAUGUAAAUAUUUAUUUGUUAAUGUGCAGCAUGAGUAAAAAUAAUACAGCAUAUACACAUAAAUAUGUAAAUAUGUUACAUAAAUAAAAGCUCAAGAGAUGCACACCCUGCAUCUCUUAAUCCACUG
Folsomia candida is the source of this 639-nucleotide long non-coding RNA. RefSeq lists it as uncharacterized. The record is from RefSeq and is a predicted model, not a curated record. The transcript has 2 exons. Lineage: Eukaryota; Metazoa; Arthropoda; Collembola; Entomobryomorpha; Isotomidae.